UGGGGAAUAUUGGACAAUGGGCGAAAGCCUGAUCCAGCCAUGCCGCGUGUGUGAAGAAGGUCUUCGGAUUGUAAAGCACUUUAAGUUGGGAGGAAGGGCAGUAAGCGAAUACCUUGCUGUUUUGACGUUACCGACAGAAUAAGCAGCGGCUAACUCUGUGCCAGCAGCCGCGGUAAUACAGAGGGUGCAAGCGUUAAUCGGAAUUACUGGGCGUAAAGCGCGCGUAGGUGGUUCGUUAAGUUGAAUGUGAAAGCCCCGGGCUCAACCUGGGAACUGCAUCCAAAACUGGCGAGCUAGAGUAGGGCAGAGGGUGGUGGAAUUUCCUGUGUAGCGGUGAAAUGCGUAGAUAUAGGAAGGAACACCAGUGGCGAAGGCGACCACCUGGGCUCAUACUGACACUGAGGUGCGAAAGCGUGGGGAGCAAACAGG
Molecule: ribosomal RNA, 429 nt
Filed under: Pseudomonadota bacterium
Lineage: Bacteria; Pseudomonadati; Pseudomonadota
Description: Proteobacteria bacterium partial 16S ribosomal RNA
Rfam family: Bacterial small subunit ribosomal RNA
Source: RNAcentral